UGAUAGUUAAGUUCACUUAGGAAUAGAAUUACAUUGAUCUCACUUUAAUCUGAAUAAUUUUUUUUUACGAUUAACUUAAUUUUCUACUGUUUUUGUUGAGUCAAUUAUAUAUUCUUCCUCUCUUUUAUAAGAGACAUGGGGGAGAGUAAAUGUUUGGCCAAUAUAUUUAUAAUCAAUAGUUUUUUUUCUUCACCUCUUUCUUGCUUGUUUGCCUAGUAUAUACUGGUUAUAAUCACUUCCAAAAAUUAUUCUCUAAAUGGGGAAAGGGAAAGAGCAUGCUGAGCACAAGUAUGAAGUUACAGAAAUAAUGGUGUAUAUUUGUAUAAAAUGGGAUUGGACAACACUUUGGACACUUGCAAGCUUGAAGAUUUAUGAAAAUACUUUUGAAUGAUGGUUUUGUCUUUUGUUGGUGUAGUUGUUUACACUCAAGUUAGAGAUGUACAAUACAUUAUUUAUGUUUUAGUUUGGAAACUGAACUAGUGUAUUUCAUUCCAUGGUUAUAUGUUGAGUUGUAAGUGUUAAUUAAUAUAUGUGAAGUAAGGAAUAUGUUAUUUAUAUGCAAUGGAAUGAGGUGCUGCUUGGACAGCCCAAA
Molecule: long non-coding RNA, 592 nt
Organism: Juglans microcarpa x Juglans regia
Lineage: Eukaryota; Viridiplantae; Streptophyta; Magnoliopsida; Fagales; Juglandaceae
Exons: 2
Source: RefSeq, a predicted model, not a curated record